RNAcentral lists this long non-coding RNA (1746 nucleotides) under Marmota monax (woodchuck). The record is from RNAcentral. Lineage: Eukaryota; Metazoa; Chordata; Mammalia; Rodentia; Sciuridae.
UCCACAUCUAAAUGCUCUGGCAUAACUGCAUAAAAAGAUUUAAUGAAGUAGAACAUGCUUUCAUCUCUUCCUAUAAUUCCCUGAAUAUGAGAACUGCAAAUGCUGACUCAAUCAAGAAUGUUGAAUUAGUGAUUCAAAUACUACCACUAGCUGCAAGUGAAAUACUUUUCUAAAUUCUUGUGCAACUCUUGAUAGAGUUCUAAACAAAACAAAAUAUAGUCUUUUGGUUUAAAAAGAAGGUGCAUUCCUGGGAAACUUUCUGCAUAUUAAAUCCUGCCCCCCCCAAAAAAAUUUUUUGAGUUUAUAUGUGAAAUAAAGUUGGGCUAUAAAUUCGGAUAUUUUUUAAAAAAGAUUUUUACCUAUAAGAAUAGGUGAAGUGAUAGGAUUUGGGGAUGCUGGAUGAUCCUUUAUUGUGUGGGAUUAUCUGACAUUUGUGAAUCUUACUCAUGAGUGCCAGGAACAGAAAGGGAUGUAGCUUGGUGGUAAAGCACUUGCCUAGCAUGCACAUGGCCCUGGGUACAAUAGCCAGCACUGCAAAAAAAAAAAAGUAAUAAUAAUAAACACACACACAUUAUAUAUACACCCAUAUACAUACAUACACCAAGUGCCAGGAGUAUCACUUAAUUCUUGUGACCACCAUUUUCACAUGGCCCACAAAUUUCUGAAACACUUAGAGGGUGAAUGAAAUCACUCUCACAGAGAAUCACUUACCUAGAGCAAUGAGUUAUGCCUCUGUUUCCCUUCCUUAGAAGCCCUGUUCCUUUUGACCUAGGAUUUCUGUCCUAACACCAACUUCCUUCUUUACUCAUGUCAGUACCCAGUGGUGUAGGGAAGGAGAACUGGUCCUGUUCCAGGUUCUCAGUUGUUCCUUACCGGAUGAUUGCAAUGGGCUCCCAUUCAGAGUAUCACCACUCUCAGAGGAUCAUGAAAACUCUUCCACAGUACUGGCCUUCUUUAUGGAUCACAGAAAGUCUUGCCUGUACUCUUGGAACUGUAGCCCCUGUGACAGUGUCCCACCCCUAUAACUUGGCACUCACCAUGUCUAUACUCACUAUCUUGAGAAUCCCAGCACCUGGGAUUCUCUGCUUUCUUGACCUUGACCUUCUGGGGCCCACUCUGCCCACAUGGCAAGUCAGAAAGGCCAGAAUUAACACUUAACCAAUGACUGGUGGAGAUGGGUAGCUACAGAUCCCAGAUUCCUCAUCUCUUGGGCAGGGUAAUCCUGAAGUGUAUGGCCCUUCACUGGCCCUCAGAGUUCCUGAGGGGGAUUAAGCUCCAGUUGCCCAUAGGAAAGCUUGCUUGAUUAUGUGCCCUUGUUUGACCUCCUUCCUUCUCUAAUUGGUGUUUCCUAGGAUCAUAUUUUCGGUAAAUUAGUUGCCUCAAAUAACUAUAGGGUGAUCUGGGGGAUUCCAAACCAAGACGUAAUUCUAGGAGAGCAAAUAUUCUCAUAAUCCUUUCUCCAUAAGGACCGGUAGAACUUCUGGGGGAAAAGAGGGAGGGGACUUGGGUGCCUAAUGGUUAAACUGCAGGUUAUUGUCACUUCAGUCUUCAAAUUGGAUCUCACAGAAUGUCCUCAAGAGGGAUCCACAGGUUUUCCAGGAAGGAGGCCCAUAAGUCUUUGUUAGAGUCUGUAAACAAGUCAAAAUAACACCUGGCAUUUUGCCAGGGGAAUGUUAAAGUUCGUAAACAAGUCUAGAUGGUGCCUGGCAAAAUGCCAGAGGGAGUGGUUUGAGAAGUAACAAAAGC